AUUGAACGCUGGCGGCAGGCCUAACACAUGCAAGUCGAGCGGAGCGGCGGACGGGGGAGUAAUACCUAGGAAUCGGCAUGGUAGUGGGGGAUAACGUUCGGAAACGGAAGCUAAUACCGCAUACUCUCAGCUGAGCCUAGGGCGGAUUAGCUAGUUGGUGAGGUAAUGGCUCACCAAGGCGACGAUCCGUAACUGGUCUGAGAGGAUGAUCAGUCACACUGGAACUGAGACACGGGCCAGACUCCUACGGGAGGCAGCAGGGGGGAAUAUUGGACAAUGGGCGAAAGCCUGAUCCAGCCAUGCCGCGUGUGUGAAGAAGGUCUUCGGAUUGUAAAGCACUUUAAGUUGGGAGGCGUUACCGACAGAAUAAGCACCGGCUAACUCUGUGCCAGCAGCCGCGGUAAUUC
This 407-nucleotide ribosomal RNA is filed under the name uncultured bacterium. RNAcentral describes it as "partial 16S ribosomal RNA". It matches the Rfam family "Bacterial small subunit ribosomal RNA", at positions 30 to 526 of the family's 1533-position model. The record is from RNAcentral.